RNAcentral lists this ribosomal RNA (392 nucleotides) under uncultured bacterium. RNAcentral's name for it is "partial 16S ribosomal RNA". It matches the Rfam family "Bacterial small subunit ribosomal RNA", at positions 523 to 918 of the family's 1533-position model. The record is from RNAcentral.
AAACGGAGGAUCCGAGCGUUAUCCGGAUUUAUUGGGUUUAAAGGGUGCGCAGGCGGCCAUUUAAGUCAGCGGUUAAAUCGUGGGGCUCAACCCCAUUCUGCCGUUGAUACUGGGUGGCUUGAUUGCUGUCGAGGUUGGCGGAAUUCGUUGUGUAGCGGUGAAAUGCAUAGAUAUGACGAAGAACACCGAUUGCGUAGGCAGCUGACCAGACCGCAAAUGACGCUCAUGCACGAAAGUGCGGGGAUCGAACAGGAUUAGAUACCCUGGUAGUCCGCACAGUAAACGAUGAAUACUUGUUUUCGGCGAUAUAAUGUCGGAGGCAAAGCGAAAGCGAUAAGUAUUCCACCUGGGGAGUACGCCGGCAACGGUGAAACUCAAAUGAAUUGACGGGG